Sardina pilchardus (European sardine) is the source of this 996-nucleotide long non-coding RNA. RefSeq lists it as uncharacterized. The record is from RefSeq and is a predicted model, not a curated record. NCBI's taxonomy places the organism in Eukaryota, Metazoa, Chordata, Actinopteri, Clupeiformes, Clupeidae. The transcript is spliced from 5 exons.
AGUGUUUUUACAUUGUUAGGCUGAUUUCUGAAAGAGUAAUGUGAUUAAAUGUUGCAGUGUGGACGAAGUAAGUUUAUUUUGUACAAAUUAUAUUUUUUUCAUUUGGCUCCACAUCUUGGUGAGGGAAUACAUAAGUCUACACUAUCACCACCAUGUAUUAAUAAACACUUGAUUGACAGAAAAGUCACUUUAAGAACAGUAGCCUAAUUAUUUUUACAGAUAUUGUAUUUACAUGUCAAUUCAGUAUCAGAAUCUCAGUACUUGGCAGUACUCACUCUCAAAAAAAUGAAAUCUCACUAUUGCUCAUCUUAAUGAAUCCUUUUUCGUAGGAUUUACACAAUAAAAUUAGGUUUCUAGGUGAAAAGGAGUCAGUUAUACGAAAUGCAUUCGUGUUUGGAGGAAAUAUGUCACUCUAUGGUCGCCGUAGAAGCAUUAUUUCAAAACGCACAAACGAGGGUCUCUGGCUGUGGCAGGUCUGCCUCUUCUCCCUCACUCGUGGAUUGUAAGACGUGGGAGUGCAGAGUGCAAGACAUCAGCGUCAUUGAGGUCUCUCUUACAGAAGCAUUACAGAUGUGCAGAAUUUCACACGCAUUGUGCAACUGAAGUCCAAGUUUAUGCCAGAACUUGACAUCUGCUCCAGGCUGUCUGCUGAGUGCCAUAGGAAGGGAGGAGAAACAAGACAUAAGAUUAAGGAGAUCAUGGCUGCCAUUGAUCGGAAUCCCAUCAUUGGCUCGUUGAGAGUUUGCCACCUGCAAGCACUUGUUGUGUACUUGAAGGCCCUGAGAAACUCAAAGGAAUACCUGAGCUGCCAGGACUGGUGUCAUCACUGAAAGCAGUCAUAAACAACAUGGCAGAUUCAUCUAUUUCCUCCAGCCAAAGCGACUCACCACGCACUAGCAGUGAGACUUGCAGUGAAGACAUGGUACUAUGACUGAAGUACCUUGAACCGAUCCCUCAUUAGCAUUGUGCAGGCCCUCCAUGAUUUUGUGAUCUUGC